RNAcentral lists this ribosomal RNA (253 nucleotides) under uncultured bacterium. RNAcentral describes it as "partial 16S ribosomal RNA". It matches the Rfam family "Bacterial small subunit ribosomal RNA", at positions 524 to 776 of the family's 1533-position model. The record is from RNAcentral.
GACGAACCGUGCGAACGUUGUUCGGAAUCACUGGGCUUAAAGGGCGCGUAGGCGGCCCGUCGCGUCCGGGGUGAAAUCCUCCCGCUCAACGGGAGAACGGCCUCGGAUACGGGCGGGCUGGAGGGGGGUAGGGGCACGCGGAACUGUGGGUGGAGCGGUGAAAUGCGUUGAGAUCCACAGGAACUCCGGUGGCGAAGGCGGCGUGCUGGACCCCACCUGACGCUGAGGCGCGAAAGCCAGGGGAGCGAACGGG